AUCGAUCGGAUUUCUAGUUGCAAUUCUCUGUCCCUUGGCGCUGGGCAGGGAAGGGGGAGCCACGGCGCUGAGGCUGGGGAGGGGCUAAAUGGGGGGAAGGUCUCUUCGCCCCCUGUCUCAUUCUCUCCGCCUAGUCCCGGCCCUGAGUGCCGCCCCAGAAAUGGGUGAGGGAACGUGGUGGGUUGGGACACACCGGGGAGGGCACAAACUGGAGGCAGCUGGAGACGUCGCCAGGGACCCAGGACUCCCUCCUCCCAGUUGCCGGGUCCGGCCGGCCCCAAAGGCCACUCCCUCUGUAGCGCCCACGCUGCCCCGGGCGGCCCCCCGGCUAGCAGCCUGACCCCUUGCCCCAGGCGCCGGAAUGUCCUCUCUCCGGAUGAACUGCUUCGGCCCCCACUUCGGAGAAGGUGCACCCGAGUCCCGCUUCCUCGGGACUCGCCCUGCAUCAGGCGCCUCAGCCCUCAGGGGAGCCUUCCCCAUCCGACGUCCGAGUUUGCUCCCUCCUUGGGACAGUUUGAAGAAAAGGACAAACUUUUGAGUGGAUAAAAAUCAAGAGGAGCCCUCCGGAGCAGAUGGAGAGGCUGGUUGAUUCUGGCUCUGGGCCGUCUCUCUAAGGAGUACCCCUGAUUAACUGGGUCCCUGCCAUCUACUUCUGCUCAACAAAGGAGGCCACUCGAGGCCUUGGUGGAAGGAUGCACACUUUCUGCCUGUAGCAGCUUCCUUGCCCCAACCUGGCCGCUUGGAGAAGAAGGGAACCUAGUUCACUUUGCUGAAUCCGGAAUCUCAGCCAGCAGAGCCGACAGCUGCAGCCGCAUCCUGGAGCCUGAUGCUGGCAGCAGUUUCUGCCUCUAGGCUCUCCGUGCCGCCUUGGCCUCUGCUCCGUGCGGUUUGCUCUUGUGUUUUUCUCCCUCAUUUAGGGGUGGUGGGGAACAGGGAAAUAAAAUGUGUCUACCAUGCCCCUAAUCCUUCCCCAUGCCCCCACCAAACCUUAAAGCCACUGAUAGUAAUGAACUGCAGCUUCCAGCUGUGCUCAUAAGCUAUUCAAACAAAUGCACAUUCUCUUCGGGGCAGGAGGAAGGCAGAUGCCCCUUCUCAGCCCUCCCUUGCUCACUGAUCCAUUUUGAGCAUUUUAGGGUCACAACUGAGACCAGAUCACUUCAGUUGGUAUAAAAUUAGCAUUUUUCACCACACCAAAGGCCUAGAUUUGUUGAAUCAAGGAAUAAGAGGUCUUUAUCCAGACCCACAUCUCUUCUCUGGCCUCUCAAAACAGUAAUGAUGUAAAGACUUGUUGAGGUGGAAAAAUAGAAGAAAAUGAGCAAUUUGCUCCAUCUAGAAGUCAGUAACUUCAGCUGUUUAUUCCACUAAUGUUUCUUUAACACCUACUAUGCAAAGCAUUGUCUCAACCUCAGUUUGUCAUGACUGCCAAAAAUGAUUCUUGCCACUGUGAGGCUUCAGUGUGUGUAGAAAAAUAUAAAAAUAAAUCAAUGGAAAAGAAAA
Molecule: long non-coding RNA, 1497 nt
Organism: Manis pentadactyla (Chinese pangolin)
Lineage: Eukaryota; Metazoa; Chordata; Mammalia; Pholidota; Manidae
Exons: 2
Source: RefSeq, a predicted model, not a curated record